This 215-nucleotide unclassified non-coding RNA is filed under the name Hevea brasiliensis (rubber tree). Lineage: Eukaryota; Viridiplantae; Streptophyta; Magnoliopsida; Malpighiales; Euphorbiaceae. The record is from RNAcentral.
AAUUGAUUAACUACGUGCAAAGGUAGAUUGUAAAGUCCAUCCUCACUCUGACCUUGGUAUAAUACCUGCUUCAUGUGGAUAUCCUUCACGAGAAACUUGAUCAAUAGUAACAUGAUAAUUAGCUCCAGAGUCAAGAGUCCAAGUUUGCACUAGGGAUUGGUGUUGGAAGUAAAAUGAGUUUGUGGUUUGGGCAGGAUUGGCGAGAUGGAUGAAAG